This 88-nucleotide transfer RNA is filed under the name Spirochaetaceae bacterium. RNAcentral describes it as "tRNA-Ser". It matches the Rfam family "tRNA". From Rfam's summary of the family: Transfer RNA (tRNA) molecules are approximately 80 nucleotides in length. Their secondary structure includes four short double-helical elements and three loops (D, anti-codon, and T loops). Further hydrogen bonds mediate the characteristic L-shaped molecular structure. tRNAs have two regions of fundamental functional importance: the anti-codon, which is responsible for specific mRNA codon recognition, and the 3' end, to which the tRNAs corresponding amino acid is attached (by aminoacyl-tRNA synthetases). tRNAs cope with the degeneracy of the genetic code in two manners: having more than one tRNA (with a specific anti-codon) for a particular amino acid; and 'wobble' base-pairing, i.e. permitting non-standard base-pairing at the 3rd anti-codon position. Lineage: Bacteria; Pseudomonadati; Spirochaetota; Spirochaetia; Spirochaetales; Spirochaetaceae. The record is from RNAcentral.
GGAGAGAUGACCGAGAGGCCGAAGGUGCACGCUUGGAAAGCGUGUGUACUCAAACCGGGUACCGUGGGUUCGAAUCCCACUCUCUCCG